AGAAGUGCCCACAUCCGGCCAAAUGGGGGCUCACCAGCUGCCCGUGGACGGAGUGGGAGGAGGCCCCCAGUCUCCAGGAGGCUCCAUGCCUCAGGCUCAGACCGGCAGCUCGGGAACCCAGCUAGCAGGAUGAACUCCAGCAGAGGAACUCAGCGCCAUUGCUGCGGCUGUGGGCCAGAAGAGAAAGAGAAAGAGAAAGAGAAUCCGCCUCGGUGUGACAAGCUGUGCCUCAGAACCCGAGCAGCAGGAGAGUGGGCAGCAGGGGGUGUCUGGCAGCAGAGAGGGGCUCAGGCCUGCUGGGUGGAGCGGCGCUGGGGGACACAGAGCCUGGUGGUAGGGAGACCUCCGGAUGGAGACAGCCCACAGUCCCGGAGCCCCAAGGCAGGCACCAGUGAGUCCCUCGUGACGGCCUCGCUCCCUGCAUCACAUGGAACCUCGUGACCCACGUGACGACGCCAGUGCCCCCGUGGCCCCUUCCUGCUGCUGGACGUGAUGCAGUCAAUGGAAGCCCAGCGUGGGCUCUCCCGGCACCAGCACCGCCAGGCCCUGUGCAGGACCCCAGGGUCAUCAGGAAGGAAAUGAGGCAGCCCAAGGAGGCGGGAGACGGGGCCCUACCCAGCACCCAGCCAUCUGCAUUGACACGGCUGCCCGCAGGAUAUCACUGCCCCCAUCCCGGGGCCCACCAUUACCAGCAGGGAGAGGGAGGCAGGUGAGCACCCCGAGCCCCACGCCUCCUGUCGCGGGGACUCCCCAGACCCAAUGCUGUGCCAGUGCAGGCCAGGCAGGGGGCUGAGGCCGAGGCCUGGUCAUUGCCAUCCUGGUCACGAUCUGGUGAAGGAUUUGAGUCCAGAAGCCAAACGUCUACAGUCGUGUGGUGCGGACACUCAGGAUGGACUGCCCAGGCCAUGGGGGGCUCUGAGGGAUGAAGAGGAAACUGCGGGGGCGAGGUGGGCUGCGCGUCUCUGAGAAAGUGUGUGAGUUGAGUGCUGCUGCAGAGGGAAGCUGGGGUCCACCGCUGGUGAGCGGGGAGGGGACGGGACACAGAACCGGCCGUGGCCCACCCCGAGACGGAGGCGCAGACACCAGGCCCGUUCUGUGCUCUGGAGGCUUUGGGCAGCUGUCAGGCUAGUGGACGGUGUGCAGAGCAGAUGGAGGCGUGAGGAGGCGGCUCCGGGGUCACCUAGGUUCAGCAGGGACAGAGCUCAGGGGGAAGGCACCUCCCGUCCUGGUUCAAUACAUGGACCCCUGACCCUGGGAAAGGGACUGAGCCAGGGGAGGCCUCAGGUCACUGCACCAUGAAGUUGUGGGGAGCUGCGGGGGCCUCUGGGCUCCGAGCUGGGCAGGCACAGCGUGGGGACCACGUGCCGAGGGGAAGAAGCGUGCCAGGGUGGACGUCUCAGUGCACACGCAGGAACAUGCAACGGCUGAGCCAGCCCAGAGAGGCAGCGGAGCGUGUGCGGGGCGGCCGGCGGAGGAGCAGCAGGAUCCCAGGCGGGAGCGCACGGCCUUUUCGGAGGCAGGUUCCAGGACAAUACUAAGCGUUUACAUCAUUGCACUAUUUGAUCCAGGAGGUCCCACUGUGGCGUUUCAUCGAUAAACGCACAUGCGAGGUGGAGGGUGGCUGGUGUGGAAUGUGCCCGGCAGCCUUCAUAGCAAAGGAGAAUUCUAGAACCAACCGAAGUGCCCCUCUGAAGGGAGCUGGUCCCGUCCGUUCCAGCCGCCGUGGAGUAACACAGCCAGCAGUUUCCCUCCUGCCACGAAAGCUCGAGACUGAAACUCAGGAUGAACUGUUUUCAGCCCGGGUCACCCCAGCCCUGGGGUGGAGGCCCAUUGAGGAUGGCCGAGCAGGGGCGGGCAUCCAGGCAGGUCCAGCAGUCCUGGCGGGCUGAGGAGAAGGAGGUCAGUGCUCAGGGAGACAUCCGCAGAGGGACCUGGCAGGCAGAGCUCCAGAAGGGAGGGAACUGCACAGACAGAAAGCUCCAGAAGGCUGCCUGAGGGCCUCUGAGGCCUCCGGAGUCAGGCGCCAUGGAUGUGGAAGGUGGACUCUUCAGCAUGGAUGGGACCCUAGGGGGCUGUGGACCCCCGGCCCCUGGGACUCACAGGUGGGAGACAGGAGUUCCAACCGCCAGGGGGAGAGUCCUGGAGGAUCCUGGGCUGUUGGCAGCCACCCAGCAGGGCCCGUCCUGGGAGUGGGGCUGGACUCUUCCUGCAGGAAAGGCUGGGCUGGACCUGCUCUGAGAGGCUUCAGAACCAGCCACACGAAGACCAAAGUGAAGAGCAAGGAGCUGAACUCCACGCAGAACACAGCGCAGCGUCCUUUAAAGGAAGGCCAAAAACAACCCAACAAAAAUGCCAGGUGAUCAAAGCGGUCACAGCACAAUGUCCACAUCCAACGAGAAAUUGCUACUACGUCCAGACGCAGGGAAAGGUGGCCGUGGGAACGUGAGUCAGCAGCAACAGGCCCAGAAGGGCAGCCACGGUGGACUUGUCAGACGUGGACCCUGAAAUGACAAUCACAGCAUGAUUUCAGGCAGGAGCCUGAAAUGGUACAGCUUUGGACAUCGGUUUGGCAAAUUCUUUUAGAGAGAAACACACACCUUCCCUAGGACCCAGCAACUCCACUCCUAAUAACCAAGUGAAAUGGAAGGAGUUGUCCUCAGCAAAACGUGUGUGCGGAAGUUCACAGUCACUUUCUCGGUGAUAACCAAGAGCUGGAAACCACUGCAACACCCACCAGCAGGUGAACGGAUUAACACACUGGGCUAGGGCCACACAAUGAGAUGCUCCGUGGCAACACAAAAUGAACCGUGGACACACACUGCACGGCGGAUGAAUAUGCAGACAUCAGGCCACGUGAAGGGAGCCAGGCCCCGAGGCGCCACGCUUUGUGAUUCAGGAAAGAAAGCACGCAGCCAAAGAGCGCAAAGAGGCUCAGAGGAGGCCCGGGUGCCCUGGAGAGACGCUGCGUCCUGACGACACAGCAUCCCUGUCCCGCAGCGGAGAUUUCCCAGAUGAAGGAUUCCCCGGCGGGAGACAGGGCCCUGCACACAGGUCCUCUGCCACGCUGCUCACCAUGCCUGUGUGUUAUCUCCCCAUGAAAAGUCACCUAGGCCGAGCAUGGUGGCUCACGCCUGUAAUCCCAGCACUUUGGGAGGUGGAGGCGUGCGGAUCAUCUGAGAUCAGGAGUUUGAGACCAUCCUGAGUAACAUGGUGAAACCCCGUCUCUAGGAAGAAUACAAAAAUUAACUGGGCAUGGUGUCAGGUGCCUUGUAAUCCCAGCUACUCGGGAGGCUGAGGCGGGAGAAUCGCUUGAACCUGGGUGGCGGAGGUUGCAGUCACAGCGUUUGCAGCGAAGCGGCUCCCAGAGCUGGGAGGAAAGCCCCGCCUGCAGCCAA
RNAcentral lists this long non-coding RNA (3395 nucleotides) under Homo sapiens (human). Its description in RNAcentral is "PREDICTED lncRNA (TCONS_00013285)". The record is from RNAcentral. Lineage: Eukaryota; Metazoa; Chordata; Mammalia; Primates; Hominidae.